UAUAGAAACAUAAGCAGGUAUGAACGC
RNAcentral lists this small RNA (27 nucleotides) under Bombyx mori (domestic silkworm). RNAcentral's name for it is "piRNA piR-bmo-1294128". The record is from RNAcentral. Lineage: Eukaryota; Metazoa; Arthropoda; Insecta; Lepidoptera; Bombycidae.